RNAcentral lists this long non-coding RNA (255 nucleotides) under Elaeis guineensis (African oil palm). RNAcentral describes it as "long non-coding RNA (EGUI_LNC059858)". Lineage: Eukaryota; Viridiplantae; Streptophyta; Magnoliopsida; Arecales; Arecaceae. The record is from RNAcentral.
GGUGAUGAGUGUGGGUAGUUGUUAGAGAAUAACUAGUGUUGAGCGUGACCAUAUGAGAGAUCACUUAGAUUUCUAUUCGAUCGCCAGUGAUUAUCUCAAUGCUAUAGUUGUAUGACUAGUCCUUUAACUUGAGAUGGUACUACUACUUGUAGUGAGGCUGCUAGAGUUUGACUGACACAUAAAUAUAGGUCUCAAUGAGCCCUUGUAGUAGAUGUUGGCGAUAGUUAGUCUACUAUAGGAGUGGGGUGCACAUCA